RNAcentral lists this ribosomal RNA (204 nucleotides) under uncultured bacterium. RNAcentral's name for it is "partial 16S ribosomal RNA". It matches the Rfam family "Bacterial small subunit ribosomal RNA", at positions 568 to 774 of the family's 1533-position model. The record is from RNAcentral.
CACGUAGGCGGUGAAUCGGGUUGAAAGUGAAAGUCGCCAAAAAGUGGCGGAAUGCUCUCGAAACCAAUUCACUUGAGUGAGACAGAGGAGAGUGGAAUUUCGUGUGUAGGGGUGAAAUCCGUAGAUCUACGAAGGAACGCCAAAAGCGAAGGCAGCUCUCUGGGUCCCUACCGACGCUGGGUGCGAAAGCAUGGGGAGCGAACA